Long non-coding RNA from Misgurnus anguillicaudatus (oriental weatherfish), 1087 nucleotides. RefSeq lists it as uncharacterized. The record is from RefSeq and is a predicted model, not a curated record. NCBI's taxonomy places the organism in Eukaryota, Metazoa, Chordata, Actinopteri, Cypriniformes, Cobitidae.
UUGAAAUUUUUUAAAUGUUCUUUAUAAAACCAUAUUUACCUGAUAAAAACUUUUUUCCAAGAAUGUAGAAGUGUCACAAUCGGUCAUAAAGAUAUUUUUGUCUCACAAAACUUGUUUAUUGCAUUGCUCCUCUCUGUGAGAAGAACCUGCGCUAUGUUCAUAGGAGUGCUUUCCCGGACAGGGUUAGAUGAAUCCAGGACUAGGCCUUCGUUAUAUUAAGACAUUUAAGGCAGACCCACUGAGAGAUGCUUGAAACUUUAUUGGACGUUUGUGAGUGUAUAUACACACAUAAGAGAGGCUAAUAGGAUUUCCCAGCCCCAGGCUACAGCGGGGAGAGACUGAGCGUGUGGAAGUGUGCAGGAAAGGAGCGGGGAGGCAGAUUGCGGGAGGUGAUAGGAGAGGUGACAAAGCAGGAGGUUCGAGCAGGUGGAGCCUUCAAAUUAUCUCCGCAGCACAUAAUAAUAAUUACUGAGGACGGCGGAGAGGAGAUAAGGGAGAAGCGGACGAGGGAGAGAAGGGAGGGAGAGACGGAGCCUGAGAAAGAGUGAGUGUGAAAAAUACUGCUGCCAGUGAAAGAGAAAGAGAGAGAGAGAGAAAGAGAGAGAAAGACAGACAGAGUAAAAGAGAGGUUGAAGAAUUAUUAUUGCUGCUAUGUUGGUGAUGGAAUUGGGUGGGUGUGGGUUGUUCAAAGGGAACAACAAUGUUAAUGUGUCUAUAAUAUGCAGAUGUGUAUUUUCUUCGUAUGAAGAGAUUUUUAUGUAUCAGUGCCUGUAAAGUUACAGAAAUCUAUUUUAACAUUUAAUUACAUGUCUAUGAUUUCCACUGUUUUAGUGACAAUUCACUAGUUGAGUGAGUUUUUCAAGGUUACAUAAAGUUUUAAUUGUUGUAAUUGUAAAAGUUGGGGGAAAACACUGAGAAUAAAAUAAAAUUAACCUUUCGACGAAGGUUUGUUAAAACAACUUAAACUGAAUUAUAAAGUCAUCAAUGCAAUCCUUUAUACUUUCCUGUUUUCUGAUAAAGACAUUCAAUUUAAACAGACAACUUUUAUGGCCUUUGAAAGUCAUCAGGGAAAAAAACAUACUAAUAA